This 498-nucleotide ribosomal RNA is filed under the name uncultured bacterium. RNAcentral's name for it is "partial 16S ribosomal RNA". It matches the Rfam family "Bacterial small subunit ribosomal RNA", at positions 30 to 523 of the family's 1533-position model. The record is from RNAcentral.
AUUGAACGCUGGCGGCAUGCCUUACACAUGCAAGUCGAACGGUAACAGGUCUUCGGAUGCUGACGAGUGGCGAACGGGUGAGUAAUACAUCGGAACGUGCCUAGUAGUGGGGGAUAACUACUCGAAAGAGUGGCUAAUACCGCAUGAGAUCUACGGAUGAAAGCAGGGGAUCGCAAGACCUUGUGCUACUAGAGCGGCCGAUGGCAGAUUAGGUAGUUGGUGGGAUAAAAGCUUACCAAGCCGACGAUCUGUAGCUGGUCUGAGAGGACGAUCAGCCCAACUGGGACGGGGACACGGCCCAGACGCCUACGGGAGGCGGCAGUGGGGAAUUUUGGACAAUGGGCGAAAGCCUGAUCCAGCAAUGCCGCGUGCAGGAUGAAGGCCUUCGGGUUGUAAACUGCUUUUGUACGGAACGAAAAGCCCCGGGUUAAUACCCUGGGGUCAUGACGGUACCGUAAGAAUAAGCACCGGCUAACUACGUGCCAGCCGCCGCCGUAA